CACAAGCGGUGGAUGAUGUGGUUUAAUUCGAUGCAACGCGAAAACCUUACCUACCCUUGACAUGUCCGGAAUCCCGAAGAGAUUUGGGAGUGCUCGCAAGAGAGCCGGAACACAGGUGCUGCAUGGCUGUCGUCAGCUCGUGUCGUGAGAUGUUGGGUUAAGUCCCGCAACGAGCGCAACCCUUGUCAUUAGUUGCCAUCAUUUGGUUGGGCACUCUAAUGAGACUGCCGGUGACAAACCGGAGGGAAGGUGGGGAUGACGUCAAGUCCUCAUGGCCCUUAUGGGUAGGGCUUCACACGUCAUACAAUGGUCGGUACAGAGGGUUGCCAACCCGCGAGGGGGAGCUAAUCCCACAAAGCCGAUCGUAGUCCGAAUCGCAGUCUGCAACUCGACUGCGUGAAGUCGGAAUCGCUAGUAAUCGUGGAUCAGCAUGUCACGGUGAAUACGUUCCCGGGUCUU
This 459-nucleotide ribosomal RNA is filed under the name uncultured Rhodocyclaceae bacterium. RNAcentral describes it as "bacterial SSU rRNA". It matches the Rfam family "Bacterial small subunit ribosomal RNA", at positions 924 to 1382 of the family's 1533-position model. The record is from RNAcentral. Lineage: Bacteria; Pseudomonadati; Pseudomonadota; Betaproteobacteria; Rhodocyclales; Rhodocyclaceae.